GUUUUAAUAAUUUAAAUAUAAAAUAUUGGUCUUGUAAACCAAAUUUAAGAUCUAACCCUUUUAAAACA
This 68-nucleotide transfer RNA is filed under the name Scolytinae sp. BMNH 1039996. RNAcentral's name for it is "tRNA-Thr". It matches the Rfam family "tRNA". Rfam says of the family: Transfer RNA (tRNA) molecules are approximately 80 nucleotides in length. Their secondary structure includes four short double-helical elements and three loops (D, anti-codon, and T loops). Further hydrogen bonds mediate the characteristic L-shaped molecular structure. tRNAs have two regions of fundamental functional importance: the anti-codon, which is responsible for specific mRNA codon recognition, and the 3' end, to which the tRNAs corresponding amino acid is attached (by aminoacyl-tRNA synthetases). tRNAs cope with the degeneracy of the genetic code in two manners: having more than one tRNA (with a specific anti-codon) for a particular amino acid; and 'wobble' base-pairing, i.e. permitting non-standard base-pairing at the 3rd anti-codon position. The record is from RNAcentral. Lineage: Eukaryota; Metazoa; Arthropoda; Insecta; Coleoptera; Curculionidae.